This 309-nucleotide ribosomal RNA is filed under the name uncultured bacterium. RNAcentral's name for it is "bacterial SSU rRNA". It matches the Rfam family "Bacterial small subunit ribosomal RNA", at positions 28 to 334 of the family's 1533-position model. The record is from RNAcentral.
GACGAACGCUGGCGGCGCGCCUAACACAUGCAAGUCGAACGGAGAGUAUUUAGCUUGCUAGGUACUCUUAGUGGCGGACGGGUGAGUAACACGUGAGCAAUCUGCCUCUGUGAGGGGGAUAACGUCUGGAAACGGACGCUAAUACCGCAUAACAUGUAUUAAUCGCAUGAUUGAUACAUCAAAGAUUUAUCGCACAGAGAUGAGCUCGCGGCUGAUUAGCUAGUUGGCGGGGUAAAUGCCCACCAAGGCGACGAUCAGUAGCCGGACUGAGAGGUUGAACGGCCACAUUGGGACUGAGACACGGCCCAG